CUUUUCAUCAUCUCUCUUGGUUUGAGGUUGAGUGAAACAACGUGGAAGUGACACUGAGGGAAUGGAAUUUAAUUGAUUGGGAACAGAGGAAAUUUACUAGGCUGUCAAAGCUUCUGUUGAUAACGCCCCUACUGCAGUUUGCAGUUUUCCUUUUGGUGCUGCACCUCAUGGCCAGCGUGGAACUGGGACUGGCCUUGAAAGUGCUUCAAAGUUAAUGUGGAGAAAAGGGUACUGACAGUUUUGAGAAAGAGGGAACACCUGUAUUUCAGGCCAGUUAGGAGGUCUCAGGAAGCACUGAACAGUGUACAACCGAUUGUCUACCUGCAUGAAUAGAAAUGAAGUCAUGGAGGUCAACUCACUGUUUUAUACCCUCCACGAAUUUUCUGUUUCUUGAAGAUCCCAUGGUUGCUGUGAGAUCGUCUCAAACAUCCUUCGACAAGCCAGAAAGGGAAAGGAAGAGAUGCUGAGAGGCAGCAGCACUGCAGUAAGAAAUGAGCAGGUAUCAG
RNAcentral lists this long non-coding RNA (506 nucleotides) under Gallus gallus (chicken). RNAcentral describes it as "lncRNA (ENSGALG00010016128.1)". Lineage: Eukaryota; Metazoa; Chordata; Aves; Galliformes; Phasianidae. The record is from RNAcentral.